Molecule: microRNA, 22 nt
Filed under: Branchiostoma floridae (Florida lancelet)
Lineage: Eukaryota; Metazoa; Chordata; Leptocardii; Amphioxiformes; Branchiostomatidae
Description: Bfl-Mir-193-P1e_3p (mature (guide))
Source: RNAcentral
UACUGGCCCCUUAAGUCCCGGU